UGUAGUCCAGCAUAGUAAUUCUAUUCAGAUAUGUAUAGUUCAGUUAAGUCACGAAGGGAAAGGAAGCUUUCGUUGAGGGCUAUCUACUAGGUGGUACAGUGCUAGGUAAUUAACUUUAUCUCAAUCCUUAAACAACUCUGCAGUGGUAAGGGUGAUUAAUUCAUCCCAUUUUGUAGACAAGGAAACUGAAUGUUAGAGGGAUGGCAUAAUUUGUUCAUGUUCAUAUAGGUAGUACUUUGGGAAGCAGAAUUUGAACACAGAUCUUUCUGGUUCUAGAGCUUUGUGUUCUUCUACCUUGCUAUGAUGUUAAGUAAUUAGUUUUAACAUGCCACUUAAGUUUAAAGCCUUAAGUAGUCCUUUUAAGAAAUCUUUUGUUGCUGGUUAUUCUCAUUUAACACUCCUAUUUUAAUUUCCAGGUUCAGGUGACCUCACUUUGCCAGAACCGUGGGUCUUCAUGAAAUAAGAGAUUUCAUUUGGUUUUUGUUUUGGUAGAAAUUGCUGUUAGGGCAAUCACCUACCUCACUAUAUUCCACUCUCUCUUCUGGAUAUUGGUGCUCAGCCCUUUUUUGAACCGCAAACCUUAUUAAUAAAAUAGUUUUCAUUCUUUGAGCGUUCCUCUUCUCACUGCCCACCCCCCCGCCACCACCACCCUACUGACUUUGAUGAGCUGAACUGAAC
RNAcentral lists this long non-coding RNA (678 nucleotides) under Homo sapiens (human). RNAcentral's name for it is "HSALNT0037882". The record is from RNAcentral. Lineage: Eukaryota; Metazoa; Chordata; Mammalia; Primates; Hominidae.